Molecule: ribosomal RNA, 260 nt
Filed under: uncultured bacterium
Lineage: Bacteria
Description: partial 16S ribosomal RNA
Source: RNAcentral
CUGCUGCCUCCCGUAGGAGUCUGGGCCGUGUCUCAGUCCCAAUGUGGCCGCCCACCCUCUCAGGCCGGCUACUGAUCGUCGCCUUGGCGGGCCGUUGCCCCGCCAACAAGCUAAUCAGACGCGGGCCCAUCCUGCACCGCCGGAGCUUCCCCGCCGCCCCAUGCGGGGCUGCGGGCAUAUGCGGUAUUAGCAGCCGUUUCCGGCUGUUGUCCCCCAGUGCAGGGCAGGUUUCGCCACGUCGUUCUCCGUACCCCGUCCGA